CCAAGCGCGACGGCGAUGCCGAUACUCGCCGCGAUCACCAGCAGAUUAUAGGUGGGCACCUGCACGCCCAUGACGUGCGUCGUGCCAUAGAUCAUGUAGGCGUUAUCCAUGGUGCGCGGCGUCGCGCCCCACGUGAAGCGAAAGACAUCCUGGAACAUCAGGAGCAAGCCGAAUGUAAGCAACAACUGGUAGCUCUCAUCCCGGCGAUAGACCGUACGCAACACACGCUCGAUCGGCAGC
This 240-nucleotide unclassified non-coding RNA is filed under the name Hevea brasiliensis (rubber tree). Lineage: Eukaryota; Viridiplantae; Streptophyta; Magnoliopsida; Malpighiales; Euphorbiaceae. The record is from RNAcentral.